This 1740-nucleotide long non-coding RNA is filed under the name Triticum aestivum (bread wheat). RNAcentral's name for it is "long non-coding RNA (TAES_LNC007431)". The record is from RNAcentral. Lineage: Eukaryota; Viridiplantae; Streptophyta; Magnoliopsida; Poales; Poaceae.
CUUCUUUUGCCAUAGAAUGAAAUGGCGCUUGACAUCUCCAAGUCUUUUCUCCCCUUCAGGUGUAGCAAUGUCAAUCUCCAGGUCCUCAAACCCUUGGACUAUGUCCUCCACCGUGACACGAGCAUAGCCAUCUUGAAUGGGGUUGUUGUGGUGGAGUGCUCCAGGUAAACAUGGUAAAGCACUGCCGAUGGCUACCUUCAUGGACAUGUUCCCGAUAGGAUAAUACAGAUGACAUUCUUUCAUCUCCUUUAUAUCGUCCACGGGGUAGNNNNNNNNNNGGGUAGAAAUAAAUCACUUACAGAACGUAGCAACUGAUGAUAGAUUUGUCGAGCUCGCGCAGAUUGAAAAGCUGGAACAAUUCACUCAGAUGAAUUUGUACAUAGUAAUGUUUGAAGUGAUGCUCAUAUCUAACUUCCGCAUAAAUAUAUUCUUUGGCAUUUUUAUUUUUUAUGUAACCCUUGUACCAUUUCAGCAGACCUUUCAUUUGUGGAGGUAGAUCCUCUUCCUGCGCAGGCUCGACGAGAGGCCCAUUCUUCACAUAUGUAAUUACUACCUCCUUCACUGGCGCCUCAUCAAGGCCUAACAGUUCACGAAGAGUAAUACCUAAGUUGGCCGCUUGUUCUCUGGCACUCGUUACAGUCAAUCCAUGUGCUGCCGCAGCUGCUAUGAUAUCGGGGUCAUCCGGACCAGCGGCUUUCACUAUAAGCGGGGCAAUCGAUUGUUUACUUUGUUCCCCGAGCUGGGCAACUCGUUUCCCGCUUUUUUUUACUUUCUAAUUCCGUUUUCUCGGCCUCCUCCAAGGCUUUGUUCUCCUGGUUCUCCGCCCGCUCUUUCUUCUCCUUCAACAUGAGUGCCUGCCUACGAAGUUCACGUGCAUAGUCGUCAGGCAGAUUCUUCGCGGCUUGGGACGGUGUGCUCAAAAAUGACUUAGCCCACUUCUUUUGCUCAUCAGAAAAUACUGGCUUGGGCUCGGGCUCUCUUUUAUUCUUGCAGUCCGCCUUCCAUUUCUCAUGAUCAGCAGCCGCGGCCACGGCAGUUUCCUCGGCACUACAUUCCCAAGGCCUUGUGGGGAGAGGCUUCAGUGAUGGCUCCGGUACCUUUGUGGUCUUAGGUACAUAAGGGUCCGGGUUAAUAAUCCAGGACUGCUUCUUCUUCUUUGCCGGAGGUGGAUUGGGGGGCGGCGUCUAAUCACCCGCCGGACGAGGACUGGGGGGUGGCGUCUGAUCACCCGCCGAACGUUGUGGACUGGGGGGCGUCGGCUGACGUGACGGAGGUGUAGGUGAACCGCCACCACCGUAGGGGGGUGGACUUGUUGUCCUUGGCGCCUCGCCUGGAAACUUGAUAAACUUCUUUUGCCAUAGAAUGAAAUGGCGCUUGACAUCUCCAAGUCUUUUCUCCCCUUCAGGUGUAGCAAUGUCAAUCUCCAGGUCCUCAAACCCUUGGACUAUGUCCUCCACCGUGACACGAGCAUAGCCAUCUUUAAUGGGGUUGUUGUGGUGGAGUGCUCCAGGUAAACAUGGUAAAGCACUGCCGAUGGCUACCUUCAUGGACAUGUUCCCGAUAGGAUAAUACAGAUGACAUUCUUUCAUCUCCUUUAUAUCGUCCACGGGGUAGCGAGGAGGCUCCGGUGCAGUAAUUUCGACCACCAGAGGCUCUGGUGCAGUAAUUUCGACCACCAGAGGCUCCGGUGCAGUAAUUUCGAUCGUCGGUGCAUCUGCACCAGCCGGUGGGGCCUCCGUG